CCUACGGGAGGCAGCAGUCGAGAAUCAUUCACAAUGGGGGAAACCCUGAUGGUGCGACGCCGCGUGGGGGAAUGAAGGUCUUCGGAUUGUAAACCCCUGUCAUGUGGGAGCAAAUUAAAAAGAUAGUACCACAAGAGGAAGAGACGGCUAACUCUGUGCCAGCAGCCGCGGUAAUACAGAGGUCUCAAGCGUUGUUCGGAAUCACUGGGCGUAAAGCGUGCGUAGGCUGUUUCGUAAGUCGUGUGUGAAAGGCGCGGGCUCAACCCGCGGACGGCACAUGAUACUGCGAGACUAGAGUGAUGGAGGGGGAACCGGAAUUCUCGGUGUAGCAGUGAAAUGCGUAGAUAUCGAGAGGAACACUCGUGGCGAAGGCGGGUUCCUGGACAUUAACUGACGCUGAGGCACGAAGGCCAGGGGAGCGAAAGGGAUUAGAUACCCGUGUAGUC
This 446-nucleotide ribosomal RNA is filed under the name uncultured bacterium. RNAcentral's name for it is "partial 16S ribosomal RNA". It matches the Rfam family "Bacterial small subunit ribosomal RNA", at positions 338 to 795 of the family's 1533-position model. The record is from RNAcentral.